ACAUGUCUACAACAUAGUGUUAAUGCAUAAGAUCCCAUUAGAACUCCGCAAUUAAGCGCGCUUGGGCUAGAAUAUUACUAGGAUGGGUGAUCGCCCGAGAAGUCCUAGUAUUUUACAUGCC
This is a non-coding RNA of Picea glauca (white spruce), 121 nucleotides long. The record is from Rfam. Lineage: Eukaryota; Viridiplantae; Streptophyta; Pinopsida; Pinales; Pinaceae.